GAUGAACGCUGGCGGCGUGCCUAAUACAUGCAAGUCGAGCGAACAGACGAGGAGCUUGCUCCUCUGACGUUAGCGGCGGACGGGUGAGUAACACGUGGAUAACCUACCUAUAAGACUGGGAUAACUUCGGGAAACCGGAGCUAAUACCGGAUAAUAUAUUGAACCGCAUGGUUCAAUAGCGAAAGACGGUUUUGCUGUCACUUAUAGAUGGAUCCGCGCCGCAUUAGCUAGUUGGUAAGGGAACGGCUUACCAAGGCAACGAUGCGUAGCCGACCUGAGAGGGUGAUCGGCCACACUGGAACUGAGACACGGUCCAGACUCCUACGGGAGGCAGCAGUAGGGAAUCUUCCGCAAUGGGCGAAAGCCUGACGGAGCAACGCCGCGUGAGUGAUGAAGGUCUUCGGAUCGUAAAACUCUGUUAUUAGGGAAGAACAAAUGUGUAAGUAACUAUGCACGUCUUGACGGUACCUAAUCAGAAAGCCACGGCUAACUACGUG
RNAcentral lists this ribosomal RNA (497 nucleotides) under uncultured bacterium. RNAcentral describes it as "partial 16S ribosomal RNA". It matches the Rfam family "Bacterial small subunit ribosomal RNA", at positions 28 to 507 of the family's 1533-position model. The record is from RNAcentral.